RNAcentral lists this ribosomal RNA (257 nucleotides) under uncultured bacterium. Its description in RNAcentral is "partial 16S ribosomal RNA". It matches the Rfam family "Bacterial small subunit ribosomal RNA", at positions 524 to 776 of the family's 1533-position model. The record is from RNAcentral.
UACGUAGGGUGCGAGCGUUGUCCGGAUUUAUUGGGCGUAAAGGGCUCGUAGGCGGCGUGUCGCGUCGGGGAGUGAAAGCCCGUUGCUUAACGGCGGGUUGGCUUUCGGUACGGGCAUGCUGGAGUGCGGCAGGGGAGACUGGAAUUCCUGGUGUAGCGGUGAAAUGCGCAGAUAUCAGGAGGAACACCGGUGGCGAAGGCGGGGUCUCUGGGCCGGUAACUGACGCUGGAGGAGCGAAAGCGUGGGGAGCGAACAGG